Molecule: long non-coding RNA, 179 nt
Filed under: Cyanistes caeruleus (blue tit)
Lineage: Eukaryota; Metazoa; Chordata; Aves; Passeriformes; Paridae
Description: lncRNA (ENSCCEG00000017413.1)
Source: RNAcentral
CAGCUCUCCUCCACUGCAAUCCUUCUGCUGCCUCUCCUGCCUGCAGUACCUGGGGCUGAGGAGACCAGGAGAGAGGCAGCUGCCCUAGCAGACAUCCAGAAAUCCAGGUGACAUAUACAGAGAUGGCUGCUAUCAGGGAAUCAAGUAGAGAAACUGUCCAGAGCAGGAACAGGAAUAUG